GUGAGGAAUAUUGCGCAAUGGGGGAAACCCUGACGCAGCAACGCCGCGUGAGUGAGGAAGGUUUUCGGACCGUAAAGCUCUGUCGAGCGGGAAGAAAUGCAUAAUGGCUAAUAUCCAUUAUGCUUGACGGUACCGCUAAAGGAAGCACCGGCUAACUCCGUGCCAGCAGCCGCGGUAAUACGGGGGGUGCUAGCGUUGUUCGGAAUCAUUGGGCGUAAAGAGCGUGUAGGCGGCUGGAUAAGUCAGAUGUGAAAGCCCUGGGCUUAACCUAGGAAGUGCAUUUGAAACUGUUCAGCUUGAGUAGGGGAGAGGAAAGUGGAAUUCCUGGUGUAGAGGUGAAAUUCGUAGAUAUCAGGAGGAACACCGGUGGCGAAGGCGACUUUCUGGCCCUAUACUGACGCUGAGACGCGAGAGCGUGGGUAGCAAACAGGAUUAGAAACCCUAGUAGUCC
This 451-nucleotide ribosomal RNA is filed under the name uncultured bacterium. RNAcentral's name for it is "bacterial SSU rRNA". It matches the Rfam family "Bacterial small subunit ribosomal RNA", at positions 354 to 796 of the family's 1533-position model. The record is from RNAcentral.